GGAGGGGGCAAACGUUUGUUUCGGAAUUACUGGGCGUAAAGGGCGCGUAGGCGGACAAUCAAGUCAGAGGUGAAAGCCCUGGGCUCAACCUGGGAACUGCCUUUGAAACUGAUGGUCUAGAGUCCGAGAGGGGAUGGCGGAAUUCCCAGUGUAGAGGUGAAAUUCGUAGAUAUUGGGAAGAACACCAGUGGCGAAGGCGGCCAUCUGGCUCGGUACUGACGCUGAGGCGCGAAAGCGUGGGGAGCAAACAGGAUUAGAUACCCUGGUAGUCCACGCCGUAAACGAUGUGUGCUAGCCCGUUGGGAAACCCUAGUUUCUCAGUGGCGCAGCUAACGCAUUAAGCACACCGCCUGGGGGAGUACGGUCGCAAGAUUA
RNAcentral lists this ribosomal RNA (375 nucleotides) under uncultured organism. RNAcentral's name for it is "partial 16S ribosomal RNA". It matches the Rfam family "Bacterial small subunit ribosomal RNA", at positions 527 to 896 of the family's 1533-position model. The record is from RNAcentral.